CUUAAUGGACAGGUUGGGGAUCCCAAAAAAUCCCCCAAAGUAUGCUCUCUAAAUUUCAGAUCUAAUAUCUGAAACUAAAACUCCAAAACCCCAAAAACAGUAGAAAAUCUCCAAAAACCAAAAAAUAACAAAGCAUCAGAAAAUACCAAAAUACAUGGUUACAUCGAGUGUUGUGAGUUCUGAUAAUUAUUCUUCACGAAUUUUUUACUUUCGAGUUGAAUAUGUGGGUUGCUGAAGUUAAGAAGUUCACUUCAAGUGAUUUUGAGUCAAACUAAGUUGGGUUUUGGUUGAGGUUUGCAGCGUUGAGGUCUCAAAUGUUUGCAGUCCAAUUUCGAUGUCUGUUUGAGUGGUAAUCAAGUAGUUUAUUGGUGAUCUCUUAGUUCCUAUUGGUUCAAACUCUCCCUAGGUUGAUUGAAUUAGUUGUUGGUGAUUUUUACCUGUUGUUGCUGCUUGUGAUAUCACUUGUUGCUGACUCCUUUUGUUAUUCUGUCCAUUCAAACCCAGGUACAUUUUCAAACUCUCACUGUUGUAAUGCCAAAGUUGGAGUAAAAUCAAGGCUCAUUUCAGAUUAAAACUCAAUGGAACCUUCAUAGUUGUAGUCAAUUGAUGUGGUUUUAGUUUUUUGUUUGAGUUUUGAAUUGUUUAAUUAGUAUUGUUGCCAACUAAUGCGGACAUGAUAAUUUGUAAUAUGAAAUGUUGAAUUUCAUUUGAAAUGGUGAUUUUCUGUUUAGUGUAGUUUAGUGGAUUGUUAGUGAGUUAGUGUUUUCAAUUGUUAAUGACACCACGAGACUAUCUAUUUUAUCAUUUGCUAAAUUGAGUUAAUUUGAAACUUCUGUUUUUGUAAGUAAUAAAUGAUUAGCUUAUUUUAUUGUUUCAAGGGGCCAUAAUUAAGAACUGUGUUGGGCUGUAAUAAUUGGGAUUGCAUGACCAGGAUCAUUUGAGGAAUAAGUAGGAUUGUUGAAGUACUUGUUGGGAUUCGAUCCCAGACAUAGAUAUGACAAUUGCUUGUGUCGCCCUCUACUUCCAUGGGGCCGCCCGUUUUCAUUUGGGCCGGGGUGCAUUAAUAUGAAGCCCAGGUUUGUUUUGGCCAGCCUGGAUAUAGCUUGAAGAAACUAGUUAAAUAGGAUGAUGACUCAAGGGCUCGAUCCAUGGACCUCGCUGAUGCCUCUCGAUGGGUUCAAAUUUUGGGCCAGCUUAGGCCCAAUGUCUAUAGCUCCGAGAGCUUGAUUUCAUAGCGUUUGCUUUAUGUGAUUUAGGCCUUCUGGGCUCAAGACAAAAAGCAUAGAAAAAUUAUAAUUACUAUAGGAUGGACUUUUAAAUAAGAAUUGCAAUGGGCCUCGCCAAAUAAGAAAUAUAUAAUUGUGAGGCCCUCAAUAAAUUUUGUAUUAAGUACUUAGAAUUCGGGAGGGUCGUUUAGCGAAUUUCACGGUCUUCCCCAAAGUAAUAUUUCAUUAGAAUCUUAAGGCGCAAUUUAAUUAAAUUACUUUCUUAAAUUCGGGUGGGCAUUGAUGCGACCCAAAUCCAAAUCUCGUUGAAGUCAAAAUGUGCUGACAACCACGGGUGCAUUGAUUGCGACGUGGUUUGAAACACAUUUUUACGACGUCGCAAUUCUUUUAAAAUAAUAAUGAUAGAAAAAUGGUUUGAGAAUAAAAGGCACAUAAGCUAGCAUGUAUUAAAAUCUGAUAAAAUCAAAUACAACAGUUAAGCGACCGUUCUAGAACCACGGAUCCCGGGAAUGCAUAACACCUUCUCCCGGGUUAACAAAACUUCUUACUCGGAUUUCUGGUACGCGGACUGUUAACAAAGUCAUAAUUUUCCUCGGUUCGGGAUUCAACCGCUGACUUGGGACACCAUUAAUCUCCCAAGUGGUGACUUUGAACUUUAAUAAUUAAAUCUCGUCCCGAUUGUCCUUUAAUUGGAAAAAUUUCUUUACGCCCAUGCGGGUGUAGUGAAAAAUGAGGUGUGACACCUUGUUCAACCAUUGGUAAUCAAUACACAUCCUCAUUGAUCCGUCCUUCUUCUUAACAAACAACACCAGUGCACCCCAUGGCGAAACAUUAUUCUAAUGAAACCCUUCUCAAGCAAGUCUUGCAACUGCUCCUUCAACUCUUUUAACUCGGGAAGGGCCAUACAAUAUGGAGGGAUAGAAAUGGGCUGGCUGCCCAGAUCCAAAUCAAUGCAAAAGACAAUUUCCAUGUCGGGCGGAAUACCCGACAGGUCUGAAGGGAAUACCUCCAAAAAUUCACGAACAACAAGCACAUAAUCAAUAGAAGGAACCUCAACACUAGAAUCACGAACAUAGGCCAAACACCCCUUCUCGACCAUACUUCAAGCCUUCACAUAUGAGAUAACAAUGUGGGUAGAAUGAUCGGGUGUCCCUCUCCAGUAUAAAUGAUGUAAACCUGGCAAGGAUAAGGUUACAGUCAUGGCAUGACAGUCUAAGAUAUCGUGGUAUGAUGAUAACCAGUCCAUCCCCAAUAUGACAUUGAAAUCAACCAUGUCUAGAAGAAGCAAAUCUACACGAGUCUCAAGACCCCUAAUCACAACUAUACAUGAAUGAUAGACUCAAUCUACCAUAAUAGAAUCACCCACCGGUAUGGAUACGCUGCAAAAUAAGAUGACACAAAUGAGUGCAUAGACCCUGGAUCAAAUAACACUGGAACAUCUCUAUAACAAACCAGAAUUGUACAUGUGAUAAUUACAUUGGAAGCCUUAGCCUCGAGCAUGGCUGCAAAAGCAUAACAUCGAGUUUGGGCCCUACCACCUUGAACUACAUCUCUGGGAAGGCCUGCUGCUGGUUGCCUCCACCUCUAGUGGCCUGAGCUCCACCUCUAAUACCUCUAGCUCCACCUUUAGCACCUCUACCCCUACCUCUAGCGGGCUGGGCGGGCUGUGGAAUACUUGGUGCCUGAACCAUGGUAUAUGAACGCUGAUGCUUAGAGUUAUUCGGUGCUCGAAGGCAAAACAUAGAAAUGUGACCCACAUCACCACAAGUGUAACAAGAUCUGAACAGCUGAGACCGCUAACCUUGACGACCUGAAUGGUCACCCCGAAAACUCUGACCGGUUGUGCACUGAUAGGAGCUGGCUGUGCACUAUAGGACUACUGAUCAGAAUACUGCAUCUAAGGACCACGGACACCUGAGGCACUAUGAGAAACCUGAAGUGCUGACUAAAAAGGCCAAGGGAGGAUGGGCUCAACCAUACAACUCCCUACCUCCGAAUGAGGAGCCAUCGAAUCUGCCUGAAUGACGAGGCCUCUUGUCAGACCCCUGACCACCUCCUUAUCACAAAAACAUCUCCACUCUCCUGGCUACAUUGGCCGCAUUCUAGAAGGAAAUCUCACUCCUUAUCUCCCUAGCCAUCUGAAGACGAAUCGGCUGAAUAAGUCCAUCAAUGAACCUCAUCACCCUAUCUCUCUCGGUGGGAAGUAUGAUAAGAGCAUAAUGAGCCAAGUAGAUGAAUUUGGUCUCAUACUGGGUAACAGUCAUAGAACCCUUCUGGAGACGCUCAAACUGCCAUUGAUAGGCCUCUCUUUGAGUGAUAGGGAGAAACUUCUCAUAAAAAGCUACGUAAAAUGCUCCCAAGUCAAAGCUGGCGAUUCAGCUGGUCUACCCAAACAAUAAUCCCUCCACCAAGUCUUGGCGGAUCCAAACAUGCAAAAAGUAGCAAAAUCAACCCUAUUGGUCUCUAAUAUCCCCAUGUUCCUGAAAACCUCGUGAUCGCUGUCUAGAUAGUCCUGGGGAUCCUUAGAAGAUUCUCUGUUGAAAGUAGUAGUGAAGAGCUUGGAAAACAUGUCCAAUCUCCAUAAAGCAUCGACGAACAUAGCUGCUCCAUCGUCAGUCUGAGCUACCACACCCGGCUAAACUACUCCAACUCGCUGAACUGCUAGAGUCUUAAACUGAGGAGCUACCUGCUCCGCAUUGUGAGUAGCAUGUGCUACAGGAAAUAAGCCUACCCAGGUAACACUCUCCAUAAAGCCCACUAGACGGACCAGAGCAUCCCUGAGUACUAGGGUAGCAGUAAACCCCUUUGGGACCUAAUCCGGGCCCACCGGAACUACUAGGGCCGGAACCUCAUCAUCAAAGUCAACCUUACGCUCUGUUGUUGGUGCUGCUACUCUGGGCAGAGCUUUGCCUCUACCUCAGCCUCUAGCACAGCCUUAGCCUCGCUCUCUGCCCCCUCAUGGGAGCUGUUGCUGGGGGCUCGGGCUGCUAGAUAGUGGAUGAGGAAGCACGUGAUAUUGCCAUCUGCGAAAGAACAGAGUAGAAAUUCAAUUAGCAUUGAGAAUCCAAACCAAACAACAUGAAAGAAUGAAUGUGAAGUUUUUCCUAAUGUUGUAGCCUCUAGGAUAAAUACAGACAUCUCUGUACCGAUCCCUCAUACUCUACUAUGCUUGUUUGUGGAUUGUGAGACCCAUGUAACCGAGAGCUCUAAUACCAACUUAUCACGAUCCGUAUUUUUCACCCUCGGGGGUCGUGAUAGAACCUACUAAUGUGAUCUAGGCAAGCCAAUCCUUUGAACUAAUUACUUUAUUAUCCAUUUAUUAUAUUUUAACAAUUAUAAAGUAAUAACGUGUAAACGGCAAAAAUUCGAAGUAAGCGGACGAAAAGCAAUAAAAAUAUAAAUAUAUGCCUAGUACAACAGUUUGAACCUCAACCUCCCGGAAUUGGUGUCACAGUAUCACAGACGAUCUAAGAUUUUAUUACAUACAAAGUUUGAAAUAAAAGAUACAGUGUUUCUAAAUUUAAGGAAAUGAAAUAGGGGUAAAAGGGAUCGAGGGAGAUGCUAGGGCUUGUAGAGGCAUGCAUGUCUAACUGGAUCUCCGUGAACUGAAGGUAGCCAUCCAAUUUACGGUCCAAAAGAUGCUCUGGAUCGGUACAUAGUGCAGAGUGUAGUAUCAGCACAACCGACAAUAUGUGUUGGUAAGUUCCUAGCCUAACCUUGGUGAUAUACUAACGAGGCUAGGACCAAACUACCAAACAACCUGUGCAAUUAAACUUUAUAUAGCGAAAAAGAAGAACAAUAAUAAACAGCCAAUAUGGGAGGGGUAUAAUGAUGCGGGGGGGGGGGGGGGNNNNNNNNNNNNNNNNNNNNNNNNNNNNNNNNNNNNNNNNNNNNNNNNNNNNNNNNNNNNNNNNNNNNNNNNNNNNNNNNNNNNNNNNNNNNNNNNNNNNNNNNNNNNNNNNNNNNNNNNNNNNNNNNNNNNNNNNNNNNNNNGGGGGGGGGAACUAAAUUCAAAACAGAAGACAAUAGGUAAUUGAAAGAAACAACCUAUCUCAGAUAUCAACAAAGAACCAGAAAUCAAUAAAUGCACAGCAUCACCGUUCGUGCUUUUGCUCUCAUCCUCACCAAAGCAAUCAAGUAAUGAAAAUGUGCAUGGCAUCUUCGUGCUUUUACUCUCUUUCCUCACCAUAUUAUCAAUGUAAUUGGCACGAAAUGGUAUAUCGUGCGGCACAGCACCACCCUUCGUGCUUUACACUCUUUCCUCACAAUUGUACACAGCAUCACCUUUCAUGCUUUAAUACUCUCUCACCAAAACAAUGCACGACAUCACCCUUCGUGCUUUAACUCUCUCCCUCACCCAAACAACAACCACAAACAAUAGGGCAAGAAAAUAAAUGAAGUUACAACAAAAAUCCCGCAAGAAUAAUUCAACAACAAGUCCCGGCAAGGGACAACAUCAAACAAUAUCCAAACAAGGGAGCCAAAAUAGUGAUUCUUUCUCUUUUUCACCUUUUACUUCACAACUCACUUUACAACCUGAGUCAAUGCUCCAAGGGUUCAAUUACCACUGAUACUUUCACAAUCCGUUAUGCAACUUGAGCCAACGCUCCUCAAUGUUUAUAGGUCAUAAUUCCUUCCACAAACUUUGAAUAACAAAUAGAAAUCUUCACCAAGGCAUGAAUGAUACAACGAAGUCAUGAAAAUCAAAAUAUAAAACUCACGUGCAUGCUUGACACUAUUGUAUAGAUAUCCAUCACCAUGCCAAUACGUCGUACUCAACAAUUACCGCAUAGCAAAUAGGACUCGACUCUUAAUCCCUCAAGCUAAGGUUAGACCAAAUACUUAACUCGAUGCCAUGAACAAAAUUCACAUCUCAAUUAUUGCUUUACCCCUUGAUUCCACUAUCGAUUCGCUUGUAUCUAGUCACAAGUUACUUAAUAUAUCAAUAAACGCUAAAUGAAUCAAUACUAAUACAUGAAAAUGAUUUUCCCUAAGUUUUGCCCAAAAAGUAAAAAAAUUGCCCUCAGGCCCACAUGGUCAAAACCUGAGGUUCGAACCAAAACUUGAUUACCCAUUUUCCCACGAACCCAAAUAUAUAAUUUAUUUUGAAAUUGGACCUCAAAUCAAGGUCCAAAUCCCUAAUUUUUGAAAAACCUAGGCUCUACCCAAAACGCCGAAUUUUCCCCAUAAAAAGCAUUGAUUUUGAAUUGAAAUCAUGUUAAAUGAUGUUAAUAAUUGAAGAAAACGAGUUAAAAUUAACUUAUAAUCCAUUUAGAAGAAGAGUUAUUUUUGAAAAAUCGCCCUAGGGAGUUUUGGUUUUGAAAGAGUAUGAAAAAUGGUUGAUUUUUGGCUAAGUAUAAAAAUUGUAGGUGCAGGUGUGGGAAAUGCAAACAGGGGUUUGCAAUUCUGUGGUAUAUUGGGAAAUGUGAAGGAGGUUCUCACAUUUGCGAGCUGGGAAUAUCGAUCCAUAUGUCACAUUUGCGAUUACUAGCUAGAAGGGGAGUUAUCGCAAUUGCGAUAGAUUUCCUCGCAAUUUCGAUCUGGCCUAGGCCUUUGAUUGCAUUUGCGAUGAGGCCUUCGCAUUUUCAAGUCAGGAUUCGCAAAAGCAAAGCUUGCAGGCUGCAAUACACAACUGAAAGUCUACAAUCCACAAGUCCAAAAAUUUACCCCGUGGCCUAUCCAAAACUCACCCGAGCCCUCGGAACUCCAAACCAAACAUGUACACGAGCCUAAAAAUAUCAUACAGACUCGUUCAUGCAUUAAAAUCGUUAAAAUAACAUCAACAAUUAUAAAUUUAGCAACAAAUCAUGAAAUUUUCUUAAGAACUUAUUCACGUCGUUUCAAGUCCGUUUCGUAACAAAUUUUACAGACUUAUCUUAAAUCACAUAUAAGACUUGUACCGGGUGAUGGAACCAAAAUACAGGCCCGAUACCAUUAAUUUCUAAUCACUAUUCAUUUCAAAAUCUCAUAAAUAAUUUCAAAAAAUAAUUUUCUUGAAAAAUUCAUUUCUCGGGCUUGAGACCUCAGAAUUUGAUUUCAGGCAUACGCACAAGGCCCAUAUUUUCCAAAUCUCAUAAGUAAUUUCAAAAAAUAAUAUUCUGAGCCUGAAUACACAUCUGAAUAUUAAAAUGUGUAUUAAAAUAUGAAUACUAGAUGAUUAAGACUAUUUAAUUUUUAACAUUAGAAUAUAUAAAAUUUAUAUUCUGAUGACAAUUAAUAAAUAUAAAAGUCAUGCGAAAUAUUAAUUAAUCUAAUAUUCUAUCAAUAAAAUAUAUAAUUUUUUAAAUUAUAAUAGUUGCUGGUAGUGAUGGUUAACGGUUGUGCUUGUGAAUGCCGGCUAGAGGCGGUGAUUGGUGGUAGUUUUGGUUGAUGGUGAUGGUUCAAAGAAGUAGCUAGUGGUAAUUGGUGGUGGUGGCGAUUAUGAUUGAGGAUGGUGGUGGUGAGUGGUGAUAGUUAAUAAUAUUGGUUGGUGGUAGUUGUGAUUGAGGAAGGUGGUAGUGGGUGGUGGUAGUUUAUAAUUGUGGGCAGUGCUGGCUAUGGAUGUUUAUGGUGAUGGGGUGGUUAGUUGUGAUAGUUGAGGUGAAAGAGUGUUGGAUGUGGUGAAAAUAAUGGUGGUGGGAGUGAUAGGGAUGGUGGGUGGUAGUCGAUAAUGAUGGCGGCUAUGAUUGAGGACGAUGGUGGUGGUGGUGAUUGAGUAUGGUGAUGGUGGGUGGUAUAGUGGUAGUCAAUAAUGGUAGGCGAUGACAGCCGUUAAUUACGAACAUGAAUGAUAGCAUCUUAAUGAAAUUAAGUAUUUGUUAUAGGUCUUAAUCAUACAGACCCAUUAAAUGGUUGUGAAGUAAAAAACAAACACACUUAAUAAAUAAGAUCUGUAUAAUUUAGAUUCAUACUUUAAAAACUAACACACUUAAUGUCUAAGAUCUGAAUCACUAAGAUUUAGACUUCCAUUAAGUGCAAACAAAUGAGGCAAAAAGACUGGUUAUUCACCUAUUUUUCUAUCGGAAGGAGCCAUUUAUUUAAGGCAUAAAUGGGCCAAAAAAUAGUAGUGGCAAAGAGAUGAACAAAUGAUUUUUGUGUAUAGGUCAAAAUUAGGUCUACAUUAGCGAAUGCAGACAGACGAGCUGAGGUCGGGGUCAAAACCAAACACGGUCCAGUGGUGAGGAGUCGCUCAAAGAGAGAGACCAGUGCCGAGGUCGAGAAGAGAGCAAACGACUAUAACUGUUAGAAUACUCCUAAGAUUGUGAAUAGGAAUAAUCUAUUGAAUAUUUUCCCACACAGUACCUUUUUAGGAUUUUCUAGGGAUAUCCCUUAUAAAUAGGAGAGGAAAGGAAACAAAAGGAGAUUCAGGACCUUUAGAAAAGAACAUCUUGUAUAUAAUUGACUAUUAAGAAUAUACAAAAAGCUUAUCAUGUCAGGUAUGUGCAGAUCAGGAAAAUUUCACAUUCAGUCCCUGUAUCACUCUAUGCUUCCAGCCUUCCCUAGGGUGGAAUGGAAGAACAUUAUGGUGACUAAAAAUGCUUGCCAAGGCAUAUGUUCACUACAUGGUUAGCUGCUCAGGGUCG
This 8788-nucleotide long non-coding RNA is filed under the name Nicotiana benthamiana. RNAcentral's name for it is "long non-coding RNA (NBEN_LNC027336)". The record is from RNAcentral. Lineage: Eukaryota; Viridiplantae; Streptophyta; Magnoliopsida; Solanales; Solanaceae.